RNAcentral lists this ribosomal RNA (466 nucleotides) under uncultured bacterium. RNAcentral describes it as "partial 16S ribosomal RNA". It matches the Rfam family "Bacterial small subunit ribosomal RNA", at positions 28 to 507 of the family's 1533-position model. The record is from RNAcentral.
GAUGAACGCUGGCGGCGUGCUUAACACAUGCAAGUCGAACGAUGAAGCCCAGCUUGCUGGGUGGAUUAGUGGCGAACGGGUGAGUAACACGUGAGUAACCUGCCCUUAACUCUGGGAUAAGCCUGGGAAACUGGGUCUAAUACCGGAUAGGAGCGUCCACCGCAUGGUGGGUGUUGGAGAGAUUUAUCGGUUUUGGAUGGACUCGCGGCCUAUCAGCUUGUUGGUGAGGUAAUGGCUCACCAAGGCGACGACGGGUAGCCGGCCUGAGAGGGUGACCGGCAACACUGGGACUGAGACACGGCCCAGACUCCUCCGGGAGGCAGCAGUGGGGAAUAUUGCACAAUGGGCGCAAGCCUGAUGCAGCGACGCCGCGUGAGGGAUGACGGCCUUCGGGUUGUAAACCUCUUUCAGUAGGGAAGAAGCGAAAGUGACGGUACCUGCAGAAGAAGCACCGGCUAACUACGUG